UUCUUGCGUAAGUUAAUAUGUUUAGACUGUAAGCUUGUGGAGCUUAAUGUUUCGUGUGAACGUGGGAAG
RNAcentral lists this transfer RNA (69 nucleotides) under Glypthelmins quieta. RNAcentral's name for it is "tRNA-His". Lineage: Eukaryota; Metazoa; Platyhelminthes; Trematoda; Plagiorchiida; Plagiorchiidae. The record is from RNAcentral.